GGANUUAUUGGGCGUAAAGCGAGCGCAGGCGNUUAGAUAAGUCUGAAGUUAAAGGCAGUGGCUCAACCAUUGUAGGCUUUGGAAACUGUUUAACUUGAGUGCAGAAGGGGAGAGUGGAANUCCAUGUGUAGCGGUGAAAUGCGUAGAUAUAUGGAGGAACACCGGUGGCGAAAGCGGCUCUCUGGUCUGUAACUGACGCUGAGGCUCGAAAGCGUGGGGAGCGAACAGGAUUAGAUACCCUGGUAGUNCACGCCGUAAACGAUGAGUGCUAGGUGUUAGGUCCUUUCCGGGACUUAGUGCCGCAGCUAACGCAUUAAGCACUCCGCCUGGGGAGUACGACCGCAAGGUUGAAACUCAAAGGAAUUGACGGGGGCCCGCACAAGCGGUGGAGCAUGUGGUUUAAUUCGAAGCAACGCGAAGAACCUUACCAGGUCUUGACAUCCCGAUGCCCGCUCUAGAGAUAGAGCUUUACUUCGGUACAUCGGUGACAGGUGGUGCAUGGUUGUCGUCAGCUCGUGUCGUGAGAUGUUGGGUNNNNNNNNNNCAACGAGCGCAACCCUUAUUGUUAGUUGCCAUCAUUCAGUUGGGCACUCUAGCGAGACUGCCGGUAAUAAACCGGAGGAAGGUGGGGAUGACGUCAAAUCAUCAUGCCCCUUAUGACCUGGGCUACACACGUGCUACAAUGGCUGGUACAACGAGUCGCAAGCCGGUGACGGCAAGCUAAUCUCUGAAAGCCAGUCUCAGUUCGGAUUGUAGGCUGCAACUCGCCUACAUGAAGUCGGAAUCGCUAGUAAUCGCGGAUCAGCACGCCGCGGUGAAUACGUUCCCGGGCCU
Molecule: ribosomal RNA, 834 nt
Filed under: uncultured bacterium
Lineage: Bacteria
Description: bacterial SSU rRNA
Rfam family: Bacterial small subunit ribosomal RNA
Source: RNAcentral